RNAcentral lists this ribosomal RNA (503 nucleotides) under uncultured bacterium. Its description in RNAcentral is "partial 16S ribosomal RNA". It matches the Rfam family "Bacterial small subunit ribosomal RNA", at positions 30 to 523 of the family's 1533-position model. The record is from RNAcentral.
AUUGAACGCUGGCGGCAGGCUUAACACAUGCAAGUCGAGCGGGGUGAUGGUGCUUGCACUAUCACUUAGCGGCGGACGGGUGAGUAAUGCUUAGGAAUCUGCCUAUUAGUGGGGGACAACAUCUCGAAAGGGAUGCUAAUACCGCAUACGUCCUACGGGAGAAAGCAGGGGAUCACUUGUGACCUCGCGCUAAUAGAUGAGCCUAAGUCGGAUUAGCUAGUUGGUGGGGUAAAGGCCAACCAAGGCGACGAUCUGUAGCGGGUCUGAGAGGAUGAUCCGCCACACUGGGACUGAGACACGGCCCAGACUCCUACGGGAGGCAGCAGUGGGGAAUAUUGGACAAUGGGGGGAACCCUGGUCCAGCCAUGCCGCGUGUGUGAAGAAGGCCUUAUGGUUGUAAAGCACUUUAAGCGAGGAGGAGGCUCUUUUGGUUAAUACCCAAGAUGAGUGGACGUUACUCGCAGAAUAAGCACCGGCUAACUCUGUGCCAGCCGCCGCCGUAA